GCAACUGGAACGCACAGCAGCAGCAGCACUUCCCCUUGCCGGAGCCGCGGCCACGCCACCGCCGUCCUCAUCGUGCCACCGCGAGCUCGUCAUAGCUGCGCUCUCCGACCAGCGUAGCCACGGUGUCGUCAACCCCGUGGACACGCCACGACCGUGACCCAAAGCCCGCCAACUGCAAGGUCGAAACCCCCCCUAAACCCUAGUCGACAUUGACGAAACUUCUCCAUACUAAUUCAUAUCUGUUCAUACAUCAUUUCGUUAUAUGUCGUUUGUUCAUGAUCAUUCAUCUCAUAUCUUGUCUAAUGCAUGACUUAUCUCUAUCUAUUUAUGCCUGUGCCGUGCCUUCGUGCUGGUCUAUUUAUUUAUCUAUCUCUAUCUCUUUUGGUCGCUAUGGAAAUGUGCUACUCCGAGUCGUCGUCUUGUUAGUGUUGCAAUUUGUGCAUUUGUUCUUGUCGUUGUGGACCGUGCCGUCGAGCCGGUUGAGAGAGUGACGUGUUUGAAUGUUGCGAUCGCGAGUUCGUCUCGCCAUGGCCGUAAUGCCGAGCAUGUCCCUUCUCUCUCGUAUUUCCGUUGUUCCUUCUUUUGUUAUUUGCAUGCCUGAGGACCGAGCCUUCGAGCCGGUUAGGGAAAAUGGUAGAGCGUUCGAUCAUUUCGAUCGUGGGUUCGUCCCGCCGUGAUCGCGAUGCCGAGCGUAACUCAUUCCCUGUGUUUAGUUGACUUCGUUGCGCUACGGUCGUUAGCUCCUAUUCCCGUCCCUCGGACGUGGUCAUCGUGGACUCGAUGUCGUUAACGACGCGGUUCUUACCCGCACACUCGAGACCUAAAUGACCUAGUCUAGUGGGAUAAGAAUUAGCGGGCAACCUAUGUGGAACAGUCGGACGCCAACUCGUCAGGUGAAGCUCAUGGUCGCGAGUCGCCUCGCCAUGGCCAUCGAGCUUACCCUAUUUUUCUCGCAUGUUUAUCUUAACUGUCUCGUAUGCUUAUGCCACCUAGACCCAGGCAUCUCCCCUAGUUCCCGCGAAGACAACCGCAUCGACUGGAACUAUAGGAAUGACCUUGUGCCGAAUCAGAAGCACCUAGGUCGUGAAGUGUUAUGAGUUGGAGUAGAGUGUGGGGUCGUAUCUCUUUUAACCAACCGUUUUUCGUUCUAUGGCGUGUUGGUUGGAAGAGUGUGAUUUCGUUCUUCUCUCUUGGUCUCAAUCCCUGUCGAUCUAGUAAGAUGCGGAUUGAGCCCUUUUGCUUGUUUAAUGUUUUGUUUCCAAUUCCGUGAUUCCCGCCGUCGCUAUGGCAAGUGGAUCAAUGGGAAGUGAAACCCGUGUCUUUUCCCGCCUUUUUGGUUCUUUGUGUUUAAACUCUUGUAUGCUUGUACCUAUUCGACCGUAGCAUUUCCUUGGUUCUCGCGGUGACAACCGCACUGCUAAGAACCCUAGGGAUGUCUUAGUGUAUUUAGUGUACCUAGGUCGUGGUACCCUACAAGUCGUUUGGGCACUCGUGAUUCUUGUGUGUCACUCUUUCUGAUUCCCCGUCUCAUACCAUGGCGAGUGGAUGGGAAGAAGUAGACCACUCCCCUUUUCUUCUCUCUUUGUUCCACCCUCUCUUAGCUCUCGCCAACCACAAUGGCGUAAGGAUUGAGAGAGACCGGAACUUCUCAUGCUCGUAGUCUUUUCGGUUCUCGUCGAUCUCUAUGACACUUGGAUCGGAAGACCGUAAGCCAUGGUGUUUGCUUAGAAUGAGUUAGAGUCUAAGCCAUUUAUUAAAGCCGUACAGGUUGACUCAGUUAACCCGGGAAGUACCGGCUAGGCUAAGACUCUGGCUUGUACUUAGUGAACAACCAUUUCCGUUUCUUUUAGCCCAGGGAUCGGACAUCCGCCAAGAGGGCUAAGUCGUUAUCCUUUCAGUGCUCUUUUAGUGCAGUCGUUCUUUAGUGUUUUGUCGCCUCUUUUCGUAGUCCUUCUAUGUCUAGCGGUCUGAUUGUUUCGCCUUGUUUGUCGCUUACGAGGUAGUCGCUUUAGGGUUGGCUUUAAUCGGAUCAGGACCCGUUGGAGGGAGGACAUGCGGAAAGGAGGAUCUCGGAUGAGAACAACUACAAGUACACUGAGGAUCUUGGAAAUGUCAUUCGACAGGUGCCACGUCCCACCCAACCUCGUAGAAUCCUAUUAGACAUGCAAUAUUAUAGAUGCUAGUGCUUUACUUUUAUGCAAAUGAACUGUGAUAGGUUGCAUGGUAGAAGUGCUUGUGAGCCAUUGCCUUGUUGCCACCUAUAACCCUCGCACACCCGCUGUUAGGUUAGAUGCUUGCAUACUACUUGCUACUGCUUCUACUACGCAUUAUAUCUGUGAUGUGAUGCAACGUGGGAGAUUGGAUGUGAAUGGAUAAGGCACGUGGUGCCGAUAAUUGGAUAAUGAGAUGAUAAUGGAUUUGGGGAGAUCUUGGCGUGUGUCUUGGGUGUGUGGUGAGGGUCGAGUCGACCGAGCAGGAUCUACGACGAGUCUUGGGACAAGUCUUGCCGGGGAACGCUACCUGGGCGUUCUCCACGAGAGAUACCUGUGGCGGGUACAUGUGACAGGGAGAGGUCCCGGAGUGGAGUGUUUUCGUGGGACGAAGCACCGGGAUGGGAGGUGCUGUUUAGCACGGGGUAGCCGGAUGUCCCGACGAGCGGUGCAUCGGUUGGCCCCUUGUGAAGAUGUCCUGUUUGGUCACCCUAAGGACUGAUAUGUUGUGUGGACCGGGUCUUAUGAAGCCUUGCACCCCACUCGCUCUUAUGGGGAGGAGACGGAUGUACGACCAGCUAGGGCGGUGCCACUACUACUAGGUUGUUAGCGGAUAGUGUAGGGAGGUACGGGCAUGAGGACCCACACCCUCCUAAGACAGCGUAGUGACCUUUGGGGCCCGGUACUACGCCUCACAGUCUCAGCGUACCGGUGGUACUCCGGUAUGGUCCCAGUUCUGAGUGGUAGGGUGGCAUCGUGUUUAGUUGGAAGGCAGCCCGGAAUCAGCCUAGACGAGGGCCUUCGUCGAUGAUGGUGAUCUUUUGGUUAGUGCAAACCUCUGCAGAGUUUUGGUUGAUCGAUCGAUACAUACGCCGAUUCGUCGGCUAUGGACCUUUCCUAAGUACAGCUUCACUUGACUAGAGAGAGGAGUCCUUUCUACCUUCCCCUGGGUUUGUGUUGGAUCCGGCGUUGGCCGUUGAGGCAAGGCACGAGCGGGAGUCGUACUUGCCGUCUAGAGAGUGGGAGUGUGGUGAGAUGUGUGUGAUGGGAUGGAUGGAUGAAUGGAUGGACGUGUGGUUGAGAUGGAUUAAAACUUGAAGAAUUACUAUUAUUAUAAAAUAUUGAUGAACUUGCAUAGGAAAGACUACAGCCAUAUAUAUAGGCCUCUUGAUCUACCCUUUGCAUUCCACUUACCACAAAGCUACGCAAAAGCAUAGGGUGGGAGCCAGUGGCCAGUACAAAUCGUACUGAAAAUUGUUUAGCAGGUUUUGAACGUGGUCCUUGAUGAUGACUACGGAGAAUAGAAGGAUUAGGUGGUCUCGUUCCUGUGCUCAAGUUUGGUUCAGAGAUGAAGGCUACGCCCGCUGAUAAACUACGUCGACUCUGAUGAUUGCCCGUGAAGGAGGAGCCUUCACCGCUGAUGCGCUACAUCGACUCUGAUAAAGACUCGCAUGUGUUUCCGCUAGAAAAACAAUGUAAUAGGCUUGUUGACCAUGAGUUGUAAAGUAAAUGUGUUGUAAUCUUGUUUUUCACGAUGUAUGACUAUGAUAACAGCUGAUAUAUGAUAAUGUGAUGGCUCAAUCUCUGAAUUGUCACAUUAUAAUUCGAAUCUGUGGAUUUUUCCCCUUUGGAAAAAUCUAGGUCGUUUCAGUUGGUAUCAGAGCCAUACUUGACCCUAGGACGAGACCUUUAGUACCAAACACUAGUUUAGAAGCCAAAUAUUCAAUCUUUUGUAGAGUUAUAGAUGCUAACACUUGUUUUCCCCCUCCGCCUUGAAUUCUGCUGCUAACUGACCUCCCUAUUUCAUAAAGUUGACCGUUGGAAUCUUUCCCCAUUACUGCCCACGCUAGAUCGGUAGUCGUGUGAGACUUUGAAGGUCUGUGAGUCGCCUCAAGUCAACACUUUGCAUUAGGAGUUGUAAUGUUGUUUGAGUGCUUGGAUCUUAUGUUCUUGCGCUUCUUCCGCUUCUUGUUGUUUGAGUGUAUGCCAUAGAACUGUUUUAUGCGAGAAAGACUCUGGGUCCCAUCCAAUCUAGCUGGCUAAACCUAAGACCGUCUUGAGACUAGAUAAGUGACCCUGGCUAACAGAGUUGAAAAAGGGUGUAAAGCUGAUGCAUCAUGUCUUGCCCAUCUAUUUCAAAACUGUUUUUGGCUUCCAACUAAACUUGUCUUCAAAUUGCCCCCUUUGGUUGAAAAAUUUUAUCUCCUUUUGGUUAAAAUAUCCCCUCUUUAACAAAAGCAUCUAUAUUUCAAAUGGAAAAGUGUUUCAAAACUCUCUCAAUAUCUUCCCUUUCACAAAUAAAGCAAUUUUAACUCCUUUCUCAACUCAAUUUUAUUCAAACUCUAUUUAUGAAAUGAUUCAAAAAUAAGUUAUCUUUCAAAAGGUGUUACCAACCCUCUUCUGAAAAAUCAAAAGUUUUGCCUUCAACCAACAAAGUGGCUUUCAAAACCAAAGAACUUUGGCUUAGUUUUGUUUUAAAGACCUUUGAUUUCAUCUUCAGAGCCAAAUUCCUUUCAAAAGUCAACCUUGUCUUAAAAUAAAAAGGAAUUGCCAGUGAUUUAUUAAGCAAAAACCAUUGCGAAAAGAUUUUUGUUGUGGCCUUUCAAAAAAAAUAAAUUAUUACAAGUUUUAAAAGAAAAUGCUCUUGUUGUUAAAACGUGAUCUUUCAAAAUGAGAAAUGAUUUCUAGUCAUUUUCAAAACUAGUUCAUUUAAUUCAAAUAAAUAAUAAUAAAAAAAAUAAAUAAUUUGGUUUUCAGAACUUGCAUUGAUUUCAACCCUCUUCAAAAGCUCUCUUCAUUUUGAAGUCUCAAAAAAAAAACUUGACUUUGUAAAAGCGCUUUCACUCUAUUUUUGAAACCUAUUUCCCAAAACUCCCUUCUUUCAAAAGUCUUUUUCAAAGGGUGAUGCGUGAAAAACAGCUGGUGAAAGCCAACAACCCUAGCUAUGUUUAAGCCUGCCAUGCACCCCUUGAGAGCCAGAUGUUCAUAAACCCGAUGCGAUUCUUGGAUACCCAUCGCCUCGGUGUAAAAAUUUGGAUACCCAACACCCGCGACUGAGCCUUGGAUACACCCGGAACAUGACUCACUCCCACUUUGGAAAAGGCUUGUGGAGCGGUCAUACUGAAAGUGAAACAACUCAGAAGUAAGAAAAACUUCGGGAAUAGCACCCUUGCUUCUUCAUCGACCGGGCAACGCCUAAAUCUCGGGGACGAGAUUCCUGUAAGGUGGGUGGACUGUAACAUCCCAGAUUUUCAUGAAAACCAAAAAUACGAGCUUUUUAAAAUUUUUCUUGUAAUCGUGUGAAGCAUAUAGUUUUCAGGUCUAACUCGAUCCUAACCCGCUAACAAAUCGUGGCAUACAUGUAGAUUUGCUUGUAGGCGAGUGCUUUUGUUCGCGAGUUGAUUUGAAGUUGAACCUUGUUUAGGGUUUUGAGUUUCUUUUGGAGUGCACAAUCUGUAGCAAAGUCUUCCCGAAUCUUCGUUGAGCCUAUCUCAAAGGCGAAGCGAAUCCCUUUCAACUCCUUGGGUAUCUUUUCGAGCUCUUCUUGAAUCCUUUUUCGACAACUUCUCCAGUCUCGUUCAAACUUCUCUCAAAAUUUCCUUCAAACCCCCUUGCUUUCCUUUCUAUUCCUCUAAGUCAUGAAUGUGGAACACAAUUUUUCUUCUCUUGGACCAGCACCUCUCUCCUAUCUCCUUCCUCUGCUAGCCCAGCAGUCACCCGCGGCCCAGCUUGCCAGCCCUGCGCACGGCCUAGAACCCUUUCCCCCUCCACUGCGCAGCGCGAGGCCCAGCUAGCCUACUCCCCAUCCCACUCGGCCCGCGACCCGGCCCAACCGGCACCAUCCCCCUUCCAACGACGCGGCCCAGCUAGCCUGCUCCCCUCCCCUGCCUCCUCCCCUCGGCCCGCCUCGCGCUCCCUCCCCACCGGCCCAGCACCGCGCCCCUCCCCUGCCCUAAGCCGCACACGCCCCAGCCCCCUGGAGAGCCGCCACCGCCAGCCAGGGCACAGACGCCUGAUGGCAAGCAGAGCCUGCGCCCACGCCUGCCCGUGCCCCUCCUGGAUUCACGCCACACAGCCCGCCCACGGCACAGACGCCGAGGAUGGACGGCCAUCCCCCGAACCCUAGCUCGUCGCGCCUAUAAAGAGCCCAGCCGCCGCCACGCCCUCGAGCUCUUCCCCAUGGCGCCGCCACCCUACUCUGCUCCACCUCGGCGAGCCAGAACGCCACGCCGAGCCCCGUCCCCGGCAUCCACCGCCGAGCCGCACCGCGACCCCGACACCGUGCUCGUGCCCCAUCGCCCCCGCGUCGUGUCUCGGCUCCGAGCACCGUGACGUCGCCGACCUCACCACGUACGCGCUCGACCGCGGCCAGGAACGCCUCGCCGUGGCCGCGACCUCGCCCCCGUGCCCCUUCCUCUGCGCCCGAGCCUCUGCUCCACGAGCUGCCCUCAGCCACGACACCGGAGCUGCUCCGUUGAGUCGAGGCCGAGCGCUGCCUUCUUCGUCCUCGUCCUCGCCCCGGAGCUUCGCCGCGCCGAGGCCCCGGCGUCCUCCGCGACCGCGACGUCGCGCGGACUCGCAACCAUGGACGACCGCGCGCUCGCGUCCUCGACCUCGCCGCGCCCAAGACGCCGAGCCGGAUCAUCGACCUUCGACGGCAGCCACGCCGAGCUGCAUGCGGCGUUCACGGCGCCUGAGCGUCUCGUCCUCGGCACCACCCCGCGCACCCGCCGCCGUCGCCAGGAGAGCACGCACCGCGCCCCGGCACCCGCACCGCGCCCUCGCCGAGCAGCAGCGGAGCCGCGGCCAUGGCCUCGCCCUCGGAGCCCUCGCCCCGAGCACCUCCUCGCGCUGGAGCCUCGACCACGCGCGUCGCGUCCUCGACCUCGCCGAAGCCGCGACGUCGAUCUUCAACGUCACCUUGUCGAGCUCUGCUCCACUGCUGCUGGGUAAGCCACCGAUGGCUAAGCUCUACCCCUUUUCCACUUUAUCGUUAAUAUUGCCACUGUCCUUGCUGAGAUCGGCCUCCGUGCCGUGUUUUACUGCGGUUACAGGGAAGCAGUGGCCUUGCCGUGCUUUUGCCGAGGGUGUGCCGCCUUCUCGGCCGGCCUUUGUGCCGAGGUUUCCCAUCCCUGUAGAGAAGCCGCAACUGGAACGCACAGCAGCAGCACUUCCCCUUGCCGGAGCCGCGGCCACGCCACCGCCGUCCUCAUCGUGCCACCGUGAGCUCGUCAUAGCUGCGCUCUCCGACCAGCGUAGCCACGGUGUCGUCAACCCCGUGGACACGCCACGACCGUGACCCAAAGCCCGCCAACUGCAAGGUCGAAACCCCCCCUAAACCCUAGUCGACAUUGACGAAACUUCUCCAUACUAAUUCAUAUCUGUUCAUACAUCAUUUCGUUAUAUGUCGUUUGUUCAUGAUCAUUCAUCUCAUAUCUUGUCUAAUGCAUGACUUAUCUCUAUCUAUUUAUGCCUGUGCCGUGCCUUCGUG
This 7701-nucleotide long non-coding RNA is filed under the name Sorghum bicolor (sorghum). Its description in RNAcentral is "long non-coding RNA (SBIC_LNC001433)". The record is from RNAcentral. Lineage: Eukaryota; Viridiplantae; Streptophyta; Magnoliopsida; Poales; Poaceae.